UUCCAAAUAACGAUAAAAAUGUAAAGUUGCAAUAAAAAGGAAAAACUAGAAUUUCCUUUUAUUUAAAAGGAAACAAAUUAUUACUCUACCAAAACAAGAAAAGCAAUAAUGAAAAUUCAAUCUUUAAUUGAUUUGAUUCCGAUUACGCCUAGAAUAUACUUUCCAAUUUGCAUCAUUCCUCCCCGACGCACUAGAAACCGAUGAAAACUACCAUUCUGCAAAGCAACAAACUGAUCAUCAAGUACCUCAUCAAUGACAUCCUGCAAAGAAAAUGGGGUAACAGGAUCUCGAGGAGGCAGUCGUGAAGACUGUUCUGCAUAAAUGUUAGGCGACAAUACUGGAGACUCAAAUGUGACUUGAUAAGGAUAUAAAUCUAUUAUAUUGAAAACAUGACUAAUAUUUAAGUGCGUUGACAGCUUAAGUUCCAAGCCGUUUAAUGAUGGGGAAAGGCCCUAGUGAUCUAGCACAAAGUUUCUUUGCAGCAUGUUUGGGGAAACUUUCAGGUGCAAGGCGAACCAUAACAUAAUCGCCUGCGUUAAAUUCUUUAUGCCUACUGUAGGGAUCAGCAGAUAAUUUAUACUGAUCAUUGCUUAAAGAAAUUUUACGUUUAAUCUCAUCAUGCAAGUCACAAAUAUGAUCAUCAAAAGCUUGAGACGAGGCAGUAGGACGAAAAUCAGGAGGCAAAGGGAUUAGAUCAAGCGGCUAGCGAGGAGAGAAACCCUAAACCACCUCAAAGGGACUAUGACCAGUAGAUCUAUUAGCAGAAUUAUUGUAAGCAAAUUUAGCGGUGGGCAACACAAGAUCCCAAUUCCCUGGUUUAUCCCUAAGCAACGAAGUAGAUUACCCAAAUUACGGUUUACAACUUCAGUUUGUCCAUUGGUUUGGGGGUGAAAUGCAUAAGAGAACUUAAGCGUCGUCCCAAAGAGUUUCCACAGCAUCUUCCAGAAGUAACUAACAAACUUGACAUCACGAUCUGACACGAUACUAACCAGUAGUCCAUGGAGACGGACAACCUCUUUGAAGAACAACUUUGCAAUGUAGGACGCAUCAGAAGACUUAGAGCAUGGGAUGAAGUGUGCUAUCUUAGAAAACCUAUCGACCACCACAAAGAUGGAAUCAUGACCUCGAGCUGUUUUGGGUAACCCAAGAACAAAGUCCAUACUAAGGUCACACCAAGGAAUAUGAGGAACCGGAAGAAGAGUAUACGUCCCAGUAUUUUGACGUUGUGCCUUACCCAAUUGACAUGUACGACAUUGAGAGACAAUGCGAUAAAUGUCUCUCUUAAGGGACGGCCAAUAAAAUCGAUCCUCAAUUAAGGCGAUUGUUUUUAUCCCGAUCGAAAUGACCAGCAAGACCUCCGGCAUGUAGUUCCUAGACUAGGAAAUCAUGAAGUGAAGGACGGGGGAUACAUAACUUGGUACCUUUGAAAAGAUAACCAUCUUUAAGCAAGAAGGAAACAUGGUCGCGAGAAGGAUUGUCUAAAAGGUCAUGAAAGAUGGUGCCAAAGUCAAGACAAUUUGGAUAAUCGUCCUUUAAGCGCUCAAAUCCCACCACAGUUGUGCUCAUCGACUGAAGCACCGUAGUGAUACGACUAAGAGUAUCAGCCGUUUUAUUUUCGACACCAGUAGAUGAUGGAGAACAAAAGUGUACUUCUGAAGAAAUUCAACCCACUUAACAUGGUGCUCACUUAAAUGGCACUGGGAGUUAAGGAAACAAAGAGCCUGAUGAUCAAAGUAUAGAAUAAACUCUUGAGGUAAUAAGUAAUAUCGCCAAUGACGGAGAGACUGGACAAUGGCAUAGAACUCCUUGUCAAGCCCGUCAUAGCUUGAAAAAAGAAAGAGACUUAUUGAAAGCUAAUACCAAGUUUAUGGAAGGCAUAAGAGUUGUUCUUCUUCUAUACCGUCACUUGAAUGAAGACACCCGAUCGGCCCGACUUUCCCAAAUUCCCAAAUAGAGGGGAUUCCAAUUCUAUAGCACCGUCUUCUUCCGAAAGGGACGAAGUGACUCAGCUUGGUUUAUCUUUUCGCUGAAGAAGGUGAUGGGAUGACCUUCUUGACUUAAGACACCUCCGAUACCUACACCGGAAGCAUCACAAGCAACCUUAAAAACCUUAGAAAGAUUCGGGUGGCGUAAAAUAAGAGUUUCGAUCAACUUUUGCUUGAAAGCUAAGAAGGCUUUUUAGGCCGAAGGGGUCCAACGAAAAUCUCCCUUUUUCAUAUACUCAGUAAUGGGAGUAGUGAGGGAGCUAAAACCUUUAAUGAACCUCCUAUAGAAAGAUGCAAGCUCGUGAAAGCUACGGAUCUCAGUUAAGGUGGAAGGGAUAGGCCAAUCCCGAAUAACAGAGAUUUUAGCGAGGUUAGCAGAAAUACCAUGUGCUGAAAUAAUGAACCCUAAGAAAAGGACUUGGGACCGGAGGAAAGAACGCUUUUUUAGGUUAGCAAAUAACUGAGCAGAGCGAAGAGUAAAGAAGACCUGACAAAGGUGAUCUAAGUGAGCUUCCUGUGAUCAACUAUAAAUCAAAAUGUCAUCAAAAUAGACAAUAAGGAACUUCCCAAUAAAAGGGCGUAAGACAUGAGUCAUGGCCUGCAUGAAAGUGCUAGGAGCAUUAGACAACCCAAAAGGCAUAACCAACCAUUCAUACAAGCCAUCUUGGUUCUUAAAUGCCGUUUUCCAUUCAUCUCUGGGUCUAAUCAGAAUUUGAUGAUAGCCACUUCGUGGAUCAAUCUUGGAGAACCACAAAGAUCCUGCCAACUCAUCUAACAAAUCCUUAAGGCGUGGAAUAGGAAAGCGGUACUUAAUGGUGACUUUGUAGAUGACGCCACUAUCAACACACAUGCGCCACGAGCCGUCCUUCUGAGGGGUGAGUAAAACUAGAAUUGCACUAGGGCUAAGGCUAGGGUGAAUAAAGCCUUUAUUGAGUAGAGUUUCAAUUUGCCUAUUGAGUUCAGCUCACUCAGUAGGGUUCAUUCUAUAAUAAGGUCGAUUUGGAAACUGGGAGCUAAGUACAAGAUCGAUGGCAUGUUGAAUAUCCCGCAUAGGAGGAAGCUCAUCAAGUAGGUCGACAAGCAUAAUAUCAUGAAACUCGUCGAGUAAAGGAGUCACUUUGGGUGGGAUGUCUAUGGGAAAAUCAGGAGAGGUUUGAAAACAUGCUUUAGCAACCAAGGCAAACAUAAGCCCAGUGUCUUGACCUUCACGUUCAAAAUCUUAAGAGACAAUAGUUGGAGACAACUGUCUGAAACACCUUUGGGUGUGGAGAUGGAAGUUGUCCUCUUUGGAGGGUCUGAGGGCUUGGUCGGUAGCAGGCGAAUAGUUUUGCCAUCGUAGAGAAAUUCAUACGUAUUGUCACGCCUGAAAUGCUUAAUAUCAUAAUCAUAAAGCUAAGGGCGACCCAAAAGGAUAUGAGCAACGUCCAUAGGUAAGACAUCACAAUAAAUGUCCUCUGAAAAAAAUGGGCCCAAUUUAAGAGGUAUGAGACAGCGAUGAGUGACGGGUAAAGAGGUUCGAUCUACCCACGCCACCUUAAACGGUCGAGGAUGUAGUUCGGUCUUGAAGUGGAAUUUGGCCACUGCGGACUUAGAUACGACAUUCAUGGUGCUACCAUCGUCAAUAACUAACUUGCAUGAACGAGAGUUGCAUGGAAUGAAUGUAUGGAAAAUAGAAGUUUGCUUCCACGAGUACGAAUCAAUAGGGGUGGAAAUGAUACAUCUCAUGACCGAGACAACAACAGUAUCCUCUUCAUAACACUCAAAGUGGUCAAGAUCAUCAAUAGAAUGGUCAAUAGGGUUGACCAUGAAACACUCAUUCUCUGGGGUUGGAAGCAGGGAUUUCUGUGCAAGGGCGAGGGCAUGAUUGGGAGAUUGAGAGGCAAAUGACCUCGAGCAUGACAGCUAUGGCAUACAAUUUGAGGGUUAGGACCCCAAGUGGUAGCUAAAGAAACAGGUUGACCCCUAGAAGGGUCGCGAGGAAUAGGAGUGGGAGAAGAUCCUACAGUCGAGCGGGCCUGGCUCAAUGUAGGACUACUAGUAGGAGCACUAGUCAGAGGGGGAUGAGAGAGACGCGGGUCAAGUAAAGUGGGAGGGCCACGUUGCAAAUAUGAAGAACGGGAGCAUCACUGGUGUUCGAGUUCUUUGUGAAAAGCAUCCUCUAACGAAUCGAGAUUGAGUAUAAGAACGUGAUGUUUGAGAUCUGGGAGUGGGCUGUUAAGGAACCUAGUAAUUGUGAUGUCCUUGGGUUCAGCAAGGUUAAAAAGAUGUUCCAAGAGUUGAGAUCGAUGGUAAGACGGGAUGUACUUCUCAGUGAGUUUUAGUUUCAUUUCUCCCCACGAAGUAAUAGGUUGGCCUAAGCGGUCGAGGGAUUGUGUCACCGUCUACCAAUAGCGCUUAGCAGAUUUAACAACUUUCAUCUUAACGAAAUGAAUACGUUGAUAAUCAGGCAUUUGGUACCAAUCGAAGUAUUCUUCGAUGGCAUCGCACCAAUCAAGAAAGGCUUCCGAUUCUAGGCAACUAUCAAAUUUCGGGGCGUCAAGUUUAACUUCCUAGUAACGUCAUCAACAAGAUCUCUAUGUUGUUUAUAACGUGAGCGUGGGGAUGGAUGUGGAAGACCAAGACUAGGGACAUUAUUGACAACUAGGUCACUAAGUUCCGUAUAAGUAAUGUGAUGUGUAGGACCAAGAUUGUGUGGAUUAGGUAGUAUGCCAUCUGGGGUACGGAGGAGUGAUUCGUGGAUGUUCUGACCAACUGUGGAAGAAUCGGAUAAAUCAUCUAUAGGAUGUUUGCCCGAGUUUCUGGAUGACUGCUCAAUACGUUCAGUAAGAUUUUGAAUGAGAGUUUUAAGCUCAGCUAGAUCAGAUUUUGCUGACAGUAUGUCAAGGGAGAGAUUAGUGACUUGCGGUGAGAGUGCAUCAUGAGAGUGGUUAAGAUCCUUUAGAUUCAUUAUGAGCCAAGCACGUGAUUAGUGUAGAAAUGUGUGACGAGAUUUAGUCAAUUAUGAAUGUUGAUAAAUCAAUUCGACAGCGUGCCUCCUUUUUUUCUAUAUGUAAUGCGUAUCUAAAACUAAACUACGUGAACUAAAAACAAUUUUGUUUAUCUAUUUUUUUUUAUUUUUAUUGUAUAGUAUUAUAAUAAUAAUUAUUUUUUUUCUAAUUUUUUUUUUAUCUUUUUCUGUAUUUUUAUUUUUUGUUUUUGGUUUGGCCUGGAACUAAAACUAAGUCAACUUAAGAAAUCAAAAGCACUUGAAUAAAAGUACAGUAUCAAAAGCAAGAUUAAACCUUACUUACAGCAGGGUUCGAGCUGACCGGACAAGGAGGCGACAAUGGAACUGGAAUAGCUUGGGUACUGACGAGCGAAAAAUGGGUUGGGCUAUGUGGAGCAGCAGGAGUUGCGAAGGUUGGAGAUGCAGAGGCGCGAUGAAAUUGCAGCAGGUACAGCGACUGAACACGACAACGGUAGAUAGUAGAGAGGGAAGUCAAAACUGUGGUGACUGAAGAGCGAAAUAGCGAAGUCUCUGGCCUCGGAGCGGAGUAGUGGCAACAACGAGAAACUGAUACAGCAGUAGCGGUGGAUUGGUGCUGACGAAAAGAGAUGUCGAUGGCUAAAUUGGAAGAACCAAUAGAUGCAGUAAGUGAAUUACAACCGGAUAACCCAUAGAGGCGGUAAAGGCGCGACUAAUGUGGAUAUGGGCGAUGGCAGCGGUAGGGAAUCAAAGCACAGAUGGCACUAGGUGAGGCGAGUUUGCAGAGACAAUGUUGAAAGGAAGGAGGCAGAGCAAUAGCGAUCCAAAUUGACCCUCAGACCACCUCGCAACGGUAUUCCACAGCAGCAGUGGGACGGUAAGUUUGUGGUUGUGAGAUGUGGUGGAUGUUGGCGUCGGUGUGAGAGAGAUAGGAAAGAUGAUUGUUGUGUGAUUAUUGGGCUGAG
Molecule: long non-coding RNA, 5915 nt
Filed under: Olea europaea (common olive)
Lineage: Eukaryota; Viridiplantae; Streptophyta; Magnoliopsida; Lamiales; Oleaceae
Description: long non-coding RNA (OEUR_LNC008174)
Source: RNAcentral